Molecule: ribosomal RNA, 1688 nt
Filed under: Salmonella enterica subsp. enterica serovar Muenster
Lineage: Bacteria; Pseudomonadati; Pseudomonadota; Gammaproteobacteria; Enterobacterales; Enterobacteriaceae
Description: bacterial LSU rRNA
Rfam family: Bacterial large subunit ribosomal RNA
Source: RNAcentral
UGCUGGAGGUAUCAGAAGUGCGAAUGCUGACAUAAGUAACGAUAAAGCGGGUGAAAAGCCCGCUCGCCGGAAGACCAAGGGUUCCUGUCCAACGUUAAUCGGGGCAGGGUGAGUCGACCCCUAAGGCGAGGCCGAAAGGCGUAGUCGAUGGGAAACGGGUUAAUAUUCCCGUACUUGGUGUUACUGCGAAGGGGGGACGGAGAAGGCUAUGUUGGCCGGGCGACGGUUGUCCCGGUUUAAGCGUGUAGGUGUGUGUUCCAGGUAAAUCCGGUUCACUUUAACACUGAGGCGUGACGACGAGGCACUACGGUGCUGAAGCAACAAAUGCCCUGCUUCCAGGAAAAGCCUCUAAGCAUCAGGUAACAUCAAAUCGUACCCCAAACCGACACAGGUGGUCAGGUAGAGAAUACCAAGGCGCUUGAGAGAACUCGGGUGAAGGAACUAGGCAAAAUGGUGCCGUAACUUCGGGAGAAGGCACGCUGACACGUAGGUGAAGUGAUUUACUCAUGGAGCUGAAGUCAGUCGAAGAUACCAGCUGGCUGCAACUGUUUAUUAAAAACACAGCACUGUGCAAACACGAAAGUGGACGUAUACGGUGUGACGCCUGCCCGGUGCCGGAAGGUUAAUUGAUGGGGUCAGCGCAAGCGAAGCUCCUGAUCGAAGCCCCGGUAAACGGCGGCCGUAACUAUAACGGUCCUAAGGUAGCGAAAUUCCUUGUCGGGUAAGUUCCGACCUGCACGAAUGGCGUAAUGAUGGCCAGGCUGUCUCCACCCGAGACUCAGUGAAAUUGAACUCGCUGUGAAGAUGCAGUGUACCCGCGGCAAGACGGAAAGACCCCGUGAACCUUUACUAUAGCUUGACACUGAACAUUGAGCCUUGAUGUGUAGGAUAGGUGGGAGGCUUUGAAGUGUGGACGCCAGUCUGCAUGGAGCCGACCUUGAAAUACCACCCUUUAAUGUUUGAUGUUCUAACGUGGACCCGUGAUCCGGGUUGCGGACAGUGUCUGGUGGGUAGUUUGACUGGGGCGGUCUCCUCCUAAAGAGUAACGGAGGAGCACGAAGGUUGGCUAAUCCUGGUCGGACAUCAGGAGGUUAGUGCAAUGGCAUAAGCCAGCUUGACUGCGAGCGUGACGGCGCGAGCAGGUGCGAAAGCAGGUCAUAGUGAUCCGGUGGUUCUGAAUGGAAGGGCCAUCGCUCAACGGAUAAAAGGUACUCCGGGGAUAACAGGCUGAUACCGCCCAAGAGUUCAUAUCGACGGCGGUGUUUGGCACCUCGAUGUCGGCUCAUCACAUCCUGGGGCUGAAGUAGGUCCCAAGGGUAUGGCUGUUCGCCAUUUAAAGUGGUACGCGAGCUGGGUUUAGAACGUCGUGAGACAGUUCGGUCCCUAUCUGCCGUGGGCGCUGGAGAACUGAGGGGGGCUGCUCCUAGUACGAGAGGACCGGAGUGGACGCAUCACUGGUGUUCGGGUUGUCAUGCCAAUGGCACUGCCCGGUAGCUAAAUGCGGAAGAGAUAAGUGCUGAAAGCAUCUAAGCACGAAACUUGCCCCGAGAUGAGUUCUCCCUGAGACUUUAGGUCUCCUGAAGGAACGUUGAAGACGACGACGUUGAUAGGCCGGGUGUGUAAGCGCAGCGAUGCGUUGAGCUAACCGGUACUAAUGAACCGUGAGGCUUAACCUUACAACGCCGAAG